GAUUAUGGCUCAGGACGAACGCUGGCGGCGUGCCUAACACAUGCAAGUCGAGCGAGGAGAUCCUCGGGAUGAUCCUAGCGGCGGACGGGUGAGUAACACGUGGGCAACCUGCCUCAUAGAGAGGAAUAGCCUUCCGAAAGGGAGAUUAAUACCUCAUAACAUUGCAGUUUCGCAUGGAACAGCAAUUAAAGGAGUAAUCCGCUAUGAGAUGGGCCCGCGGCGCAUUAGCUAGUUGGUGAGGUAAUGGCUCACCAAGGCGACGAUGCGUAGCCGACCUGAGAGGGUGAUCGGCCACAUUGGGACUGAGACACGGCCCAGACUCCUACGGGAGGCAGCAGUGGGGAAUAUUGCACAAUGGGGGAAACCCUGAUGCCAGCAACGCCGCGUGAGUGAUGACGGCCUUCGGGUUGUAAAGCUCUGUCUUCAGGGACGAUAAUGACGGUACCUGAGGAGGAAGCCACGGCUAACUACGUGCCAGCCGCGGC
RNAcentral lists this ribosomal RNA (485 nucleotides) under uncultured bacterium. RNAcentral describes it as "bacterial SSU rRNA". It matches the Rfam family "Bacterial small subunit ribosomal RNA", at positions 15 to 518 of the family's 1533-position model. The record is from RNAcentral.